Long non-coding RNA from Capsella rubella, 313 nucleotides. RefSeq lists it as uncharacterized. The record is from RefSeq and is a predicted model, not a curated record. The transcript is spliced from 3 exons. NCBI's taxonomy places the organism in Eukaryota, Viridiplantae, Streptophyta, Magnoliopsida, Brassicales, Brassicaceae.
AGCAAGGAACGAGCGAAGAGCUAUAAACUCCCCGCCAUUGUCAGAGUAGAGAGUGACAAUCUUCUGUUUGAAACGAUUUUCAACCAGCGCCUUGAAGGAUGACCAAGUCGCGCAUGCCAAGAGGAGCUAUCAGCCUUUGGUGUUGGAGAAGCAAACAACAAUCUCGGCUUAGCAAUAUUAACCGGCCACUCGUACAACUCUUUCUUAGUCCUGCCUUGGAAAACAUAAAGAACAUCUCUUAAGGCAAUAUCACGAUGAUGAGUAGGAAGAGUAGUAGAACCAGUUUGAGCUAUUUGGAGGGCAGAGCCAUCAG